AAUAUUUUGUAGUUUUCCAAAAUCUUUGUCCUGUCAUGUAUUUUGCUUAUAAGCAUGACCAACAAAUUCAAAGGCAAAAACCACAAAAUCAGUCAAUGGUCUUGGAAACUUUGCAAGUAAUAAGUAUCGGUAUCGGCAUGGGUGAUACUGGACCUGUAUUUACAGUACCGGGUGUCCGAUCAAUACCAAUAUUUGUCAUAUGUCCACCGCUAGCUGACACUCUCAACUCUCACUUGAUAUAUACGCCAAUGCGGCCAAUCACAGGUGAGGAUACAGGAUCCUUCCAUUAUGUAAAAAACAGGACAGAUACUCUCAGAAAGGCGAUAUCAGCCCAUCCAAGCUGAGCCAUCUAAGUUUUCUUAAGCCAUCAUGCAACUAAGGACAUUUUUACUGAUGUUUGCUUAUGUUUUUGCAAGGGUGGAUUUGUUUAAAAUGUUUUAUUCAUUUGUUUUUCAGUAAUUAAUUUGAUUCCAAUAUGAAACAAAAAGUAAGACAUUAGAGCAAAAGCACAAAAUGAUGCGAUUAUAAGUUCAUAACGACACGGCAGAGCAACAAGAGUGUUUCCUGCACAUUCAGAUAUUCUAACUGCCACAGAUAACGAGGAGCUGCCAAAGGACCUCAGGGACCUCAGGUCUACCAGGUGUACUAACAUAAGACUGGAAUGGACUACAAGAACAUCAACAAGUCUGUAGACCUGCACAAGACUGGGCUGGAGUACAAGACUGUAGACCUGCACAAGACUGGAAUGGACAACAAGACAAUCAACAAGACUGCAGACCUGCACAAGACCUGAAUGGAUUACAAGACCAUCAAUAUGACUGUAGACCUGCACAAGACUGGAAUGGACUACGAGAAGAAGUCUGUAGACCUGCACAAGACUGGAAUGGACUACAAGAACAUCAACAAGUCUGUAGACCUGCACAAGACUGGAAUGGACUAUGAGAACAUCAACAAGUCUGUAGACCUGCACAAGACUGGAAUGGACUAUGAGAACAUCAACAAGCCUGUAGACCUGCACAAGACAGGGCUGGAGUACAAGACUGUAGACCUGCACAAGACUGGAAUGGACAACAAGACCACCAACAAGACUGCAGACCUGCACAAGACCUGAAUGGAUUAUAAGACCAUCAAUAUGACUGUAGACCUGCACAAGACUUGAAUGGACUACGAGUCCAUCAACAAGCCUGUAUACCUGCACAAAACUGGAAUGGACUACGAGAACAAGUCUGUAGACCUGCACAAGGCUGGAAUGGACUACGAGAACAUCAACAAGUCUGUAGACCUGCACAAGACUGGAAUGGAAAACGAGAACAUCAACAAGCCUGUAGACCUGCACAAGACUAGAAUGGACUGUGAGAACAUCAACAAGCCUGUAGACCCGCACAAGACUGGAAUGGACUACGAGAACAAGGCUGUAGACCUGCACAAGACUGAAAAUAAAUACUAGACCAUCAACAAGACUGCAAGAUUCAGUCUGAAUCAGUUUUACUUUUCAACAUUUCAAAAUCCACUGUUUUUAAUCAGCUGAUUUAAGACAAGUGGACUAUUCAGACUUUUCUAAAAAAAAAAAAAAAAAAGUCCAUAAUUCAGCUUUUUCGCAGAUAUUUUUCCGAGUGAAAUGAAUGGGCACUUUCAAUGCCGCCCCCUGUUGGUGGCCAUUGAUUUAAAUGUAACAUUCUGCUCAUUCUGUGCACGGCGGCAUGACCGCGUCACACAGGGGUCGUCUCCCAGCCUGAUGCUUUCUGGUUCCAUCCUCAGUUGGUGAAUACGUUUCAACACAUUUGGAGGAUAUUUCAACAUCCAUUCUACAUUUCAGUUCAACUUCAGCAUUCACACACAAUUUCUACUGAAACCGCUUCAUCUACUUCAUAUUAUUAGCGCCAAUCUUUUGCUGUUAUUAUUUGCUGUUUUUCCCCAUUUUAGUUAAAAAAAAUGUUUCAUUUUUUUCCUGCAACAUGCCAAUAAAAUACCAGCCGCUGGCUACAAAUGGCCCCCGGGCCUCCCUUUGGACACCUUAGUAACACUAAUAUAAUCUGGUGUGCAUGUAAACGCAGUGAUUGGGUUCAUCAUGGGAACACUGACUUUCAUCAAGAACAUGCACAUGAACUCCUGCUUUGAAAGAUGUCAAACUUGCACUUUUGAAACGAGAAAAAAGCUUUUGCGAGUGAUUCCCUGACUCCUUCAAAAGCUUGAAAGUCUGACAGAUGAGUUUUCUUUCUCGGUGGAGUGAAAAGCUGUAAUCAAACGCCCUUCGGUGCGUGCAUCACCAGCGGACUCCUGAUAACACACUUAUCAGCGCAGCAGCUGCUUGACCUUGAUGCUGUCCCUGAGACAUGAUGAUGUUGUCUUGCACAUGCUCAACACAAUGAGUGCACAGUUUCCACUUUUAAAAUGAAAAUGGAAUUAGCAUUUUGCACAUUUGGAUCAUAAUGAGGUUUUAAGUAGAGCUACAAUAUGAAAAAACAAGAAGGGGGAGUGAGACAAAAAACAUUUUGAAAAAGUAAUUUAUUGAAAAUAACAAUUAAACUGAAAUAGGCUGUUUAUCAGCUGAUCAAAAGUUUAAGACCAUCGCUCAAAAAAUAACAACUCUCAGAACAACCAGAACAAAAAAUGUUCUCAGUAGGACUCAGUAAUGAGUAGCUCCACCGUUCUUGUUCAUCACUUCAAAAAUGGCUUUGGGCAUGCUUGAUGCGAGUGUUUCCAGGAGGCUAGUGGGAACAUUGCUCCAAGUGGUGAAGAUGGCUUCACCAAGGGCAUCAACUGUCUGGAACUGAUGGCCAUUUUUAUAAACUUCCCUUGCCAUCCAUCGUCAAAUGUUCUCUAUGGGAUUUAAAUGAGGGGAACAUGCAGGAUGGUCCAAAAGAGUGAUGUUAUUCUCCCUGAAGAAGUUCUUGGUCAAGUGAGCAUUGUGAACUGCAGCGUUGUCCUGUUGAAGAACCCAGCUGUUACCACACAGACGAGGGCCCUCAGUCAUGAGGGAUGCCCGCUGCAACAUCUGCACGUAAGCAACCGCCGUUUGACAACCCUGCACCACCUGAAGCUCCAGUGUUCCACUGAAUGAAAAAGCACCCCAGAUCAUGAUGGACCCCCCUCCACUGUGCCGGGUAGAAAACAUCUCAGGUGGGAUCUCCUUGUCAUGCCAGUAACCUUGGAAGCCAUCUGGGAACGUCAAGGUUACAUUUUUUCUCAUCAGAGAAUAAAACUUUUUUCCACCUUUCAAUGUCCCAUGUUUGAUGCUCCCUGGCAAAGUCUAAACGGGCAGUUUUGUGGCCUUGAAGGAGACGAGGUCUUUGAAUUCUUUUUUUGUUUUUUACACCCUUUUGGUUAUUGGUUAUUGGUUAUUGGUUAUUGGUUAUUGGUUAUUGCGCUGCAGUUGAUACCAGUAAGGGCCUUAAUGUGGGUCGAACACCGCCCUGUGUCUUGAUGGACAGCCAAUCGGAUCCUCCGGCUCAGUGCAAGUGUGAUUUUUUUGGGUCUACCACUUGACUUUUUUGUUCCAUAAUGCUCAGGAGCUUUCAAAAAAUGGAGAAUGACUGAUUUACUGCACCCAACCUCAGCAGCAGUGUGAUUAAUGUUGGCAGAUGUUGUCGUCCAUCCAUUCAUUUUCUUUACUGCCUGCCCUCAUUAGGGUCACGGGUGAGCUGGAGCCUAUCCCAGCUGACUUCAGAGGAGAGGUGGGGUACACCCUGGACUGCUCGCCAGCCAAGCAGCACACAUAUAGUAUAGAAAUAGUAGUAAUAGUACAGUAGUAGUAAUAGGAAACAACCAUUCAUACUUAUGGACAAUUGGGAGUCUCCAGUUAACCGAACCGAACAUGCAUAUUUUUGGAAUGUGGGAGCACCCAGAAACAUGCAGAACAUUUAGAUAUUUGUCAUUUUAAAAAAUGUGUGUGUUUGGCUGGCUGUGGCCUUGAAUGCAACUUCUGAUUGAAAUGACUGAUGCGUCAUUACAAAAGUUACGACCAAUGGAAACCAGACCCCGCCUCCACAUUUCAAAUUAUCGGUUGAUCAGAAAUUCACACGCCUGAAGUGACAGCAAGAAGUGACACGAAGUUAGCUUAUAUCUGUCUGCAUCCUCAGAAGGAAGCAGCCAGGUUGACGGAGGCCAGACCUUCGGAGGCCCCUCCUCCAGCCACGACCAGCCUUGGGAAUCUGGACACGCUAGCCUUCCCCCCCUUCCUGGUUGUGUAAUGUGUUCUCAUCUUUACUCUGACGUCACGAUGGGGAGACAUCUGUUGCCCAGGACCACGAAAGCAGGAAAAAAAAUACAAGGGAAAUUGAAGUUGAUUUAUUUAUGACUUUUUAGCUACUUAGUCCAUCUGUGCAGCACUCUGAUCAACAACACAUUAUUUUUUAAAUGUGUUUAUACAGCGAGCGUGAAUGGUUGUUUGUCUACAUGUGCCCUGAGACUGGUUGGCACCCAAAAUCAGCUGGGAUAGUCUCCAGCAUACCCGGGACCAUAUUGAGGAUAGGCGGCAUAGAAAAUGAAUGAAUUAAUGAAUGUGUUUAUACAGUAAUCCCGUGUUUGUUGCGCUUAAUUGGUUCCAGACCCAACUGUAAUAAGUGAAUUUCCAUGAAGUAGGAUUUCCUAUUUAUAAAUGGAAUACUUCCAUAGUUAGAGCAUAGAAAACCCGUUUACCACCUUCAAAGAACGGGUUUUAACAUUAUUAGAGCCCUCUAGACACAAAAUAACACCCCUAUAGUCACCUUUACACUACUAUUACCCAAUAGAGUAGACAUAAUAAGAGAAAGUAAGACAGAUAUUAGACAUGUUAUAGACGCAUGUUAGCAUUGGGAGAGUUCCUUGGGUUAGUUACCAGUGUAGAAUGCUACAUAUCACGUUUGAAUGAGUCUUCUGAAUGUCUUAUAUUUAUAUUUUCGUUCAUUUAGCCAUUUUUAUGCUUGAAAAUGUUUCAUUUAGGCCAAGAAUACAUAGAAUUGGUUUCAAAAUGCAUGUACUUUGAUUAACAAGAGGCCACAAGUGGAUCACAAAACAGCAAUAAUUUAUUAAUUUGCCUAUUUUGAAAAACGGUGACAGGAUGAAGCUGCAAAGUGGCGAGGGACGACUGCAUAUAGAUACAUCGGAGCAUUUAGGGCCUCUAAAUGCUCAAAUCGGGCCAUGGUGAGGUGUCGGGGGUGGUGCAAGAGGCACAGGGAACUUUCAGUAUCAGUGUCUUCAUACAUCUGUCAUGUGCUGUCUGCCAUAUGUUGCAGCGGUGCACACCUGCCUCCAAUGAUCUCCGCUGGCUUUUAAGCAUGGCGGAAACUACUCCUCCUUGUUGCCUAGUUAUUCCGCCCAUUGUGUUACCUGCAGCUGUUUUCAGUUAAGUACCGCUCUUUGAAUUUUUUCUCAGGUGGUGUAACGGUACAGCUGCUGCCCUUCAAGGCAAAGUGCACAAGUUCAAUCCCAGUCAUGAGCAGUUCCUCUUUUAUUCUGUCGGUUUGUUGUUUUGCACUAACAAUAAUUUAACGGCUCCUCUGCGAAUCACCACCUUGUCAUGAUCGAGGGGUUGAGGUGCCCGAGGGAUCCGAGGAGCUACAGGAUGUGUUCCAACUUGACGUAUAAAAAGUAAAGAUUUUAGCGACGCGCCUUCCUCUGCUGCAGCACCGCUGUGGUCCGCCUCCAUUGUUGUUUUUGUUAUUGAUUCGUUUAUGAACUGUGGGUGCAUUUUAGAUAGAAAUAGAUAUCAACCUUACUGCAUCAAAAAAAAAAAAAAAAGGAUGGCACUAUGCUUCCUCAUUACCUGCAUGUGUACAGUAUUUUAUUACAUCAUACAAUGACAGCUCGUGCAACUUCAAUGCAUGGGGAACUAGCAGCACCAUUUCUAUUCAUUUAUUUGUUUACAUACAUAGUCGUGAGAGAUUUGUAAAAAAAAAAAAAAAAAUGUCCAUGCUUUUUGUCCAACCUUAAUGUGGUUAGGAGUCCAUAAUCACAUUGCAAAUUACGUUCCAAUUCAUUAACACGGCAAAUUUUUACUGCGAAGACAUCGGCCCAGACUGGUACCUGGCAAUACAAAAUCAUCAGCCCCGUUUCCACCGCAGGAACGUUUCCCAUUUAACCUGGGAUAUUGAAGAACCAUGCCUCGUUUCCACCAAAAUAAUAAGGUAAAAUACUUUCCACAGAGCCCAAACUUCUUAUGAAACAAUACGAGUAGUGAGAAAGGACUUUUUCAGAAGCCCAGGAAGUUUUGUGUGCUGAAGAUCCCUCUUUGCAGCGAUUGUUUUCGUUUUUUGAUCCUUUUGUAUUAUUUGUAAAAUUCUAUCCCUCCCCAUAGCCUGAUUCGAAUAACACCCAAGGUUCCCAAAGUGGGGUACGCAUACCCCCAGGUGUAGGCUACGCCAAUUGUAAUAGGGCUACGUGAAUAAAAAUUAAAAACAAUUACUGCCUAACCCUCUCAAUUACGAGUGCGCCUGAACGCCUCACGGCGCAAUGGGGAACGGAGCAGGAAGCAGGAAGGAGGCAACACGCGAUGUUGUGCACUUGCUGCUUUGAACAAAUAAGUACGUUUGAUGAUUAUUUUGUGCAUUAAUAGUGUUUGAUCUCAAAAUAUUUCACUUUUAUCGGUGUUCCAAUCUCCGCACGGUGCUGCGGUGAUACUGCUUUGUCGUGAAUGUUAAACUGUCCCCUUCAAUUUGGUAGUCAAUUAUUAUGCGGAUUUAAACCACAGCCAUCGUCUGUGGACAAAAAAGUGUAAAUGUCUGAAGGGGUACGCCACUGUAAAAAAUGGUUUACCUGGGCUCAAAAAAAGUUGUUGUUAAAAGUUGGUGGAAAUAUUGGUGGAAAGGGGGCUAUGGUGUAUUACUGUAUGGCUGAGACAGGACAUUCUUUAGUGUCCCCCUGAGGUGCUGUAGUCCUCCGUGAUAAAUCACUGAUUUAGUUUCGUUGACGGUCUCUCACGGUUGUCAAAGGUUUCUGGCCUCCGAUGUUUUUUGCGAAUCAUUUUGGAAAGACCCUUGUCAAACACCUCACCAGAGCGAAGAGCGGACACCAAGUCGUCAAAUUCACCACCCUCCUCUCCUUCCACAUUUAUUUGAGCUUUCUUUGCUUUCUGCUCCCUGUCUUUCUUCAUCUGGAGGGCAGAAUGAAAAGAAGAGAAUGAAAAUCAGCAUGAAAAUCAGCUCGCAGAAGUGCCCGUUUUUCCUCUUCCUCUUUACGUCUGGCCAUGUCUUCGUUGGCCUGUUUGGCCUCUGAGAAUGCGGAGAGGAACGUGUCGAAGAUGCCAAAGAAUUCAUCAGGCUGAAGCUGGGACACGUCUUCUCCAAAGUGCCGUAAUGCUUUGCCAAGCUUGAACACCAUGAAAGAUGAGGACAUGUGAGUUCCUUUGCUUCACCAAGUGACUCUUCAACAUCAGACAAGCUGAAGGACGCCACAGUGAUGAACUGACUGACCACAGGAACAAAUUUAUCAUCUGGACCCAGGGAGGGCUGAGCUUGCUGGUACUGUAGUUCCUGGAAAUGUGUGAACAGAAAGCGUGACUGUGACACAGACCAAUAUUUUCGGUGUUGUUGUAUGUCGUAUUAGUUGUACAAAAAAAAUGACAAGCGUGUUUUCUCACAGCUUCAACGCUUUUGAUGCCAGAUCGUAGAUUGUUGAUAUCUUUCUCCAAUUCCAUCAUACUGAAAAGAUAAUAAGAGAAACAGCGCAAACAGUAACACAGGGUCAUGAAGGAAAGGUUUGACCGUUAUCAUUAUCUAUUCUAUCUAUUGACAGCAAUCGUAUUGGAUUUGAUCUAAACGUAUUGUCACUGUGAAGAAAUCAAGGUUAGCGUACAAUAAGACGCACAUUUGUCAUGUUAAUACACUGCGUGAGUCCAUUUCUGUUCUCAGGGUAUUUUUUUACAUUUUUAUCACAAAACGUCCAUAGCCUCUCACAUCAACGCUAACUUGCUAACAAAAGGCCAACCGGAGCCGGAAGUCAGCUACGUAGCCCGUCUAUGACGUCACCAGCAGUUGACUCUCAAAAACGUCUCAAAAUUCUAAAUGCGUAUAAAUGACAAAUGAAAGGGAUAAAUGAGCAUUGAAGGUUACUUUCACCUUCACUGGAGACGUGAUUCUUGAUGUGGGUGUUCCCAAAGACACGAUGUGGCAGCGAGACACAACAGAGACACCACCUUCCCGUUUUGUCAUGAGUUAUUUCGUAAAUUAAAUUCAAUUCAAAAGUAUUUUUCACCGUCAGCACUCUUGAAUUCACCUUUUGUAUAAUAUAGUAAAAUAUAGACAGUGUAAAAAUGAAAUCACAAGUUGAAAAACUAUUACAGAUAAGCUGUACCACGCUGCACCAAUUUACGUUUGGACUUACUUCACUUUAGCAGCCGCUGGCACAUUUUGCAAAUCUUCACCGAGGGCCACAACCAUGGGAAACUUUCUCUCCAAGACAGUCACAAUGUAGUUGAGCAGAGUGACGUUUCUACAAGGACACAUGAACACACAUUCAUCCAUUCAUUGCAUCUCUGCAUGCUUUACAAGCAUUUUGAAAGGGCAACUAUGUGACUCGGUAGUUAGAUAAGCACUUUCAACAAAGAACAUUAGCAUAACCAAUAGCAGGUCUCAAGCAUCUGUGAAGGCUAUUUCUUUUCUUUAGCCUUUCUUCCUGGUCCUUUGGGCCGCGUGCACAUCCGAGAACUUGUCAAUGACCAUACAAUUCAAAAAGUUGUCAAACUGUUUAAAAAAAUACAGGCAAUAUAUUGCUAUCAUCUAGGGGUGCAACGGCACGCAAAAUUCAUGGUUCGGUUCGUUUCAAUGUGUUUGUGUUACGGUUCGAUACUUUUUCUAUACAAAAAAGAAAUGACCUCGCCUUUUUGAAUUCGAAUUUUAUUGAAAUUGCCAACAUUUUUCUCACCUUUUAAAAGUACAGUAUUGCUGCACACACUUAGCACCAUAUGAGGCAAAAAAAAGCAGCAUGUAAUAAGAAUAUAAACAUUUAUCUGAUGGAGAGCCAUGUGAUGCAUUCUUAGCAGAUGAGUAAAUAUUACGAAGAAACAAAUCCUUACCAAAUCAAAGCUCCGUACCCAUCUUCUGGGGUACAUUCUCAGCAGUAUAUUCAACAAAAAACAGGUGGACAGCAAUAAACGUAGCUGUCACCACCCGGUCGACCUCUUUUGUAGCAUUUGUGCGCCUGGUUUUUGUCUGUUUCCAGUUUGUCCCAAACACCAGAUCUGAAGGAUGGUGGAGGAUCUUCAACACCAGGAGAAGCACUAGCCAUGUUUCAAUGAGCUCAGCGGCUCUGUGUUUGACAACGCAACCGAAGCCAGAGUAGUCGAUUGCAGAUACACUGAGCUUUCAGCACAGAUCGCCAUCAGAAGUUGAUCAAACAAAUAUAAAACUGCGUAUUGUUCGAUACAGGGGUCACGGUUCGGUACGCAGGUGUAUCGAACGGUCCGAAACAGAUACACGUAUUGUUGCACCCCUGCUAUCAACAAUUAGGAAGAUCGGCAAAAGAGCCAAGAAUGAAACUACACAGGGUAUGUAUCGCAGUUGCUGCACCCCUCUAGAAAGUGAAACUUAAGCUUUUGUACCUGGAAAGAGUUAAGUUGGUGUGAGUGAGAUGACAAUGCAUUUUUCCACGAGUCGUAUCUAAGUGUUGUGCAACUGUUUGCGCUAGGCGUGUGUAUUGCAAAGCUCUCUAGAAAGCAGUUAGACUGACAAUGCUCUGAGCUAUUAGCCUGUAUCAUGUCAAACUAAUUGGACUUCAUCAGUUAAUCAGUCGAUUACUGGCGCAUGCUUUCAAAUGUUAACCGUACUUGUCAAUACUUGACUUGGUGUCUGCAAUCUUGUUCAGACUAGAGACUUUAAAUCCAUAAGCAUUUCCUCGCUGCCCUUUGUUCAUGUAGUUCCCCAAGGCUAGAACCACCUCUAACAGUUGACGGAGACGUCCACUCCUCAUGAGCUCCCUGGAUGCAAGACAUAGAGCUGAAAACACAGACAAACACAAAGAUGCUCCGUCAUAGACUACAGAGUUACCAUCAACAAAUAGUACCCACAUUUUUCAGUAUUUUUCUUUCAUUCAUCAAGACAUUCUGUGAUACCUUUGAUUUUAGGUUUGACGUCGGCCACUCUUUCAGCAAACUUCUUCUUCAAGUGAAGAGACAAAAGUCUUUGUUGAUAGUGGUUGAUCCUGGAAGAGAACAAUCAGACAUCGUGUAAGUAGGCUCAAAAAGGAAUGCUAAUGUUGAAAUACUAUAUGGACAUCAUUAAAGUCGUCUUUCCUCGUCACUUAGCGCUUAGAAUUUUGCGGCUUCACUCUGUAACUCUUUUUCAAAAUAGAUGAAUGAAUUGUCGCUGUUUCGUGGUUUUCGGCCUAUUAUUAGUCCAGAAAUGUGCAUGUUUCAGCAAAAUCUGCAUAUUUUUUGGCUAAAUGAAGUAGGGAUGUUCCGAUCGAUCGGCCACCGAUCAAAAUCUGUGAGAACGCAUGUAAUCGGCAUAUGCCGACAAAUGCCUUUCAACGCGAUCACAAAAGCCAAUCACCCGUGGCCCGUACUAAUGCAGCAUGCGGCCUGUAACCAGCGUCUCCCGCCGACUUGCCUUUCCUUUCACACUGCGCAGGCGUGCCAAACCCAAAGCAAACAUGUCUGCCUUGUGGGAUUUACCUGUCGUUUGAGAGUGAUAUCAAUUUUGCACCCUGCAAAACAUGCCACGAAAAAUAUCUCGCAGGGGUAGCACGUUAAAAAGCCAAAAAAUAAUUAAAUUCAUCGUACGAGAUGACCAUCCUUCAUCAGCUGUGCUGUCUCACGUGGAACCCACCUACGUGCUGCCUGGAAGUCCACCAAUGUACUCUCACAUCCAAAGUCUCCUCGUCUGUAAGUUUCACCAGUGAUAUGCCGUAUGCUCUCUUGAAAAAGAAAUGUUUUUGUCUAAAUGAAAAACAUUUUUUCAUAUCAUAUAGCCAAUAGUAAAUGUAAAAAUGUACACUUAAUCUAUGUGAUCGGCAUCGGUAAUGGGCCCAUUUCACUCAUGGAUGAUCGCUAUCGAAAUCGGUAGCAUCAAACCCGGAUCGGAGCAUCCCUAAAAUGAACCAAUUUCAAGCAUAAAAAUGACUAAAUGAACUAAAAUACAAAUAUAAGACAUUCAGGGAAGGCAUUGAAAGACACGCUGUGGUAUGUAGUAUUCUACACUGGUCACUAGGUGUCAGCAAUGUUACAUUAACUAGACAGUGACACUGCAGGAAAUAAACCCGUAAAAAAAUCUCCCAAUGCUGGUGUGAGUCCUUAUUAUGUCUUAUGUUCUAUUAUUAGGUCUACUUUAUUAGGUAAUACGAGUAUAAAGGCGACUCUAGGGGUGUUAUUUCACGUCUAGAGGGCGCUAAUAAUGUUAAAACCGUAUCUAGGUCAUAUUUAGUUUUUUUGUAUGCUCUAACUACGAAGAUAUUCUAUUCAUAAGUAAGGGAUCCUACUUGGUGGUAAUUCACUUAUCAUGGUCUGGUCUGGAACCAAUGAGUCGCGAUAAACAAGGGAUUACUAUAUUGGAAUAUCAGGACACCAACAGGAGGGUAAAAUGUGCAGUUCAUCUUCCUUUUGCAGCUAAGCAGCUUGCACUCUUGUGGGAAAAGUUUCUUUUUGAAGUGGGAAUGUUUGCCAAUUCAUCAAAAGCAAUUCAAUUAGUGAGGUCAGAGGUAAUCGAUUUCUAUUUCAUUAUCUAUUUUUCAAAAUGUAUUAUCUAUUUUAUUUAUGAGGAUUUUUUAAAUUCCUUUUUCGGUUAACAUCGAAACUGUAAGCCAAAGUUUGCCUGGGCUUGCGUACAUUUUUCGGUGAGCGUACAAUAUGCCGCGUGUCUCGUCGCGUUAUUAAGGCACCGCGUGAGUGCAACUGUGUUCUUAAUGUAUUUGUUGUCACAAAACGUUUUAAUUUUUAAGCAACAAUUUCUUAUUUUUUUCCUAAAAAGAAAAAAAUAUCUUGUGUAGCAAUUUUCACUUGAGAAAAAUAAUUUUAUAUUAAAAGUAUAGCCAACCGAGGUCACAUUUUACAAUAAUGUACACAAAAAUACAGUAGUUACUGAGGAACUAAUGAACUAAUGAGGAACUAAUGACUUAGGCACAUAAAUUUAGACUAGUUACUGAGGAACUAAUGAAGAACUAAUGAGGAACUAAUGACUUAGGCACAUAAAUUUAGACUAGUUACUGAGAAACUAAUGAGGAACUAAUGAGUAGUGGUUAGGCUUAGGUAGGUUCGUUCCUCAUUAACUACUGUAAUUUUGUGUACCUUUAUUGUAAAGUGUUGCCAAUUCUUAUUAGGAUUUUUAUUUUGCCAGAAAUUAGUUCUUUUUUCUAAUAACCAGCUGUAAACCUUAUUUGGAUAAUUCUUCAACAACAGAUGAAUGUAUAUUUGUCUUAAAUUAAGAAUAAAACUGGUUUCUAAACUUUCUAAAUUUAAGACUGGACUCACACGCAGAAAAUAUAUCUACGCUGCAAAAAAUACAUUUCAAGUAAUGAAAAGAAUUCCAAUUUUCCAUUACUUUAAUUUGAUUCAGGAAAAUAUGACUCUAUUUUUACCUAUUUUUUAACAUUUUAGAUAGAAUCACACUUUUUUGUUUUUAAAUAAGGGUCCAUCCAUGUAAUUUGCUUCAUGCUUGUGGAAAACCUCAGACCGGUGAAGAAGUAGCCAACAUAACUACCAUGCCGACAAGAGAUGUUGGCUGCAACAAAAACUGUCCAUUUGGUAAUAAGCACAUUUUACUUAAAUGUAGCUAUCUGAUUAAGAACAACUUGCUUAUUUUAGGACUCAUUAUGCUCUUAAAAGACAAGAAAAAUAUUCUAGUUAUAAGAAUUUUAGCCAAGCAACUUUUCCUUAACACAUUGGCAGAUUUUUUUGCUUGAAAUAGGAAAAGUUGUCUCAUUUUAAUAUAAUUUGGGCUUCUUUCAAGUAUGGCUGUUUUUGCCGUGUGGCAGCUUGCUAAUACAUGGAAAAGGGAAGCGGAAGUCAGCUCCGUCACCCGUCUAUGAUGUCAUCAGUGGUCGACUGUAGUUCUUCGCUCACUAAUACAGUUACGCAACAAAUCUCAAAAAUGUUAACCGUUUUACCUGCAGAAAACAGUUGUAAUGUAUAAAUGACGAACGAAAGGCAAAAAUGAGCAUUUAAAGCUACUUUCACUUCGGUGAUGACGUAAUGACAGACACGAUGAGUUAUGUCUUGAAUUCAGUCGUGUUUCUCACCGUCUUUAUCAAAAUGCUGGCACUUUUAACUCUCUUCUGUUCAAUUUUUUGGGUUAUUUUGCAGCCGUGAUCGAAAGAAAAGCAGAGACUUCAGGUGAGAAACACUACUGAAUUCAAGAAAUAACUGUUCGUGCACAAAACAUGCAAAACAUUAUUGCCGCACCUCCUGUGCUAGGCACGCUGCUAUUAGGGGACAUAACUUGUGCUCCUUACCUCAAGAGCCUAAAAAGCACAAAAAUAAAAGUAACCAAUAGAAAGAAAGAUGUACUUUAUUAUAAAUAUAUAUGCAUGUAUAUCUUCAAACUCGAUAGAGGAAGUCAUUGCUCAUGACCAAAUGUUCAAAACGGUUUUCUUGUUUACCUGCUCAUAUCAUACAGGAAGCGGUCUGGUUUGGCCAUUCGCUCUAGUUCAUGUUUGUGGUCCUCCAACAGCUCAAUGUCGCUUUUCUCCGGAACAAACUUUAGGAGCUUUACCACACAGACAAGAUGUUUAGUGAUAAAUACAUUUCUGCAUUUUUCCAUAUUUUAAAAUGUGACAAGAUUUCUCGUUCAGAAAAAAAGUCUCGUGGGCACUAGGCCUGGGAUGAUGAUAAAUAAAUUAAUUAAUCACACAAUAAUCAUUUUUUGGCUUCAAUAUAUCGGCAUGUGCAUGUGUGUCUGUUUUCCUUCUCUCUCGCCUCCAAACAGGCGGGAAGAGGGUUCACCCUGCGCAUUGGUUUCAGCACCUUGGUGCGUUUGUUCCAUAGAACAACGGCAUGAACUGAGUCAGCCCUUUGGUUACAGUCACUUUGUUUCAGUGGGUGGAGGCGGGAUCGGUAGCAUACACACAUAGUGCAGAAGUGUAACCUAGUAGAAAUUAAAUGAGCAGAUUGCAAUAUAUUGUCAUAUAUUUUUUCAUUGUACUUUUCUUAAAAGUAAUGUUAAAAUCUUGCCUUGUAGACCCAAUCUCGUGCACCGUCUCCUCUCGUGACCCCUAGCACCUACCCAUUUUAGGUACAUUCAUUUAAUUUUGACUUUGUCAGGUAUCUCUAUUUCAACAAAAUGAUCAAAAAAAACUAAAUUGUUACUGUAUGGUUGAAAUUAUGACCUUGGUGUUGUUAUAAAAAGGCAAUUAUUCAACAAUAACUUGAGAAACUGAAAAAAACUGAAAUCAUAAAUCAGCCAUCACAUUGACAGCCAGCUCCUCUCCCAAUAAUGUCAGCUUUUCUUGAUUCCCGUAUUGCCUUGUUUUCCAGUAUUCCUGCACAAAAACAAAGCAAACGGCGACGGACGUGGCCAAAUUUGUGCUAAGGGCUAAAAUCUAUAUUAUGGCGCAGCCCUACUGUAUGGUACAGUAUACUGUAUGUUGGUAUGGACUGUGUUGCCUAACGUGCCUGUGAAUACUGUCAUUCAUCCAGGUGAUUGUAUUCUCAAGGCAUUCAUUCAAUCAAUUGCAACUGGAUUGCCUCUCACCCGAGCAAGCUUCAUCAGUCCAUGCUCAGGGACUAGGUGGGACAUGCACCAAUCUAGAUAGGACAGCUCUAGUCUGUGUUGCCUACAGGGGGAGUGACAUCCUAUGUGCUGGCUACGUGCAAAAAUGGGGAAAAUCACAAGAGCCCGCACGGAUUUUCAAACCAGCAGACAGCACACAAAGCCAGUGGAAAGAAAAUUGGGAUGCAAAUUAUUUUCUGCGUGCACGCAGGAAACCUUGCACACAGCCAGGUUCCAAGAGCGAGGCAGAGGAGGAGUGCGUGUGUCGAAAGUUUAAAAGUACAUUGUGUACGUUGCCCGGCCACGGCAGCGGCUCCUCCCGAGGCGGGUGAUUCGUCCAGCUGUACACUCUGGUUCUCCCGACCUCCGUGGACACCUGAUGGCUGCUCACAUAGCGUAUCCGACAUUAAUGCGCCUUACCAGGCCAGAGCGGGUGGCUCUUCCCGCUGUACACUCUGGUUGUCCCGGUCCAGAUAGCUGUAGGUGCCGUAGGAAGCCAGUACGCCCAUCUUGCAAUCGAAGUGAGUGGGCUUUGCGAGCCUGGUACGAUGCCCACACACGGUACGUCCCCAGUGAGUGAAACGUACGACAGCCUUACAUGAAGCGCAACUAGCGAGCACGAGUCGUACGGCGCACUCACGAUCUAAAAGCUGCCAACGGAGGGCGAGCGGCAAGCACGUGGGUGUCACGAAUCACUUGCUCCAUAAGUACGACACGCUUGCAACCCCUCUGAUACCCUACUUCCCCUACGUGCUGGCCACGGCCAACUCAUUUCCCAAAAAUUGCAAAGCCCGUGCGUGUGGCAACACGUACGUCGGGAUGCAACUCCCUCUUAAUACGCAUCAGCAGUCAGAGAGCAACAUUACCUGCUCGAGCAUGUCUUUUGGCAAAUCUUCCUGUUCAUCCAUGGACAGGAUUGCUGAGCGAAUUUCCUCGUUGGUCAGUUUAAGCCUGUCAGAACAAUACAAAGUGUGUCAGAAAAUUUCCAGGACUGGCGUCAUAAAAUAUGUAUUUAGAGUCCAAACUAUAAGUGUUCCCCUUCUAAGACAAAUUUUCCUCUUCUAAGUAGAGUUAGUUAACCCUAACUCUAACUCCUUGAUGGCUGCAGAGAGCUCCUAACCCUAACCCUAACCCUUUUGAUGGUUGCAGAGAUCUAUUAACCCUAACUCUAACUCCUUGAUGGAUCCUCCGCAGCUCCGUCGUCACAGCCUUUUUGAUGUCGGCCACAUCUUCAAAACGGGUUCCCUUGAUGACCCCCAUGAAGAUCCAUGACUCAUCACCAGUGAUGACUCCGUAGCAAGUCUGGUUGGGUUUCAAGAUGCUCGAGGAUGUCCUGACACACUUGCAUGUGUCGAUCCUUCUGGUCAUUGUUAAACAGUUUUGGUACCGUCUUUGCGAAUACUUUCCGCUUAUCCAAAUCUUGAGUGCUAAUCUUCCAGACGCUGUCUUAAUUCAUGCACAGCUCAUUUGCUCAUCAGUCAAACGGUCAGACACCAUCUCCCUGACGCGGUCAAUAUCGACCUCAGUCCUGGUCGCUCAGCGCCUUCCGCUCCUGGGGUCGUCUUCCUCGUCUUCGCGUCCUUCUUUACACCUCUUGCAUCACUCAAAAACAUCUCCGUGCACUUGCUGCAGCAAUCCCAGUGCUUCUGACGGCAUUGUCCCCAACUGUACCAGAAAGUUCAAGCUUGUUUGUUGCUCUGUGCUCAUUGCUUGAUGACCUCAGAGGAUAGCUUAUAUAUAAAAUCAUGUGGAAAAACGUGAUGGCUGCAGAGAGCUAAGACCACAAUUCCAUACUCCUAACCCUAACACUAACCCUUUUGAUGGUUGCAGAGAUCUAGUAACCCUAACACUAACCCUUUUGAUGGUUGCAGAGAUCUAGUAACCCUAACUCUAACCCUUUGAGGCUGCAGAGAGCUCAGAUCACAGUUACAUACUCCAGGGAGAUUGCUUUGAAUGGGAAAACUCUUAGUUUGAAGUUUGGGUUUGAAAUAAUAAAUCUUUCUUGACACCAGUCCUGGGACUUUCCUGACACACCUUCUACACGACAGCAUGCAACUGACAAUAUAGAAGCCCAUAUUUGAAGCAUUAAUUGUGUUCAUGUGAAGCAGAACAACACAUGGAGGCUGCUCCCAGCAAAAAGUGACAGAUUAUUUAUGAGCUGGUGGCUUUUCGUUAUUCAUUGCACACACUGACCGUGACAGCAGAAUGUUGCAGUUCUGUGCUCUGCGACCAUCGAUCACAGAAAGCUCCUUCACUCUCCUUGCAGAGGCAAUAUCAUCGACGGUUUCUUUCUGUUAAUAAGGGGAAAGGAUAAAUAAAAUAAUCUCAAUGCACGUACAGACGUAAGGCAGCAGAAAAAGAUGUCAAGUUCCAUAAUGGUGUCAGGUUACUUGUGGCCUCUGGUAGGCUGAGAAUGUCCGCUGAAAUUCAUCCAGAUCAAGAACUCUGAACACCCUGAGAUCGUCAAUUUCUGUCCAUAUUGUGCCUUCAGUUUUACUCUGAAAAAAACAAAGAUUGCAUAUAGAACACAAUCAUUUUUUUUCUCAUCCACUCAUGCAUAUAACAGAAACUAAACUAAACGCAUCAAAAGUCCCCUUUUGUUAUGUCAUUUUAUUUUAAUUAUUUGGACUUUUAUUUUAUUUAUUCAAUUCAGCUGUUCAUGACGCUGGCCACCUCUGGUAUAAUUGCCGACGUCAUCAGUUGACUGCAUCACAGGAAUCUACCCUGUGGUACCCCUUUUCCACGGCAGCAAACUUUAGUGCUGGUGCCGGGCUACUUUGAAGGUAGAGCUGAGCCGAUUCACAGACGACUCUGGGCAAGAAGUGACUCUACACCAGUGUUUGUUAUCACGAGGGCAAGCUAGUAGGCCUAGCAGCAGCGUACCUCGGGUAGUUUGCUCCAGUUGAACGACUUCAGUGGAUUUGAUGACCGGGGAAUAUUCUUCUGCUUGGUGCUUCCUAGAGGAGCCCCCGGUGGAGGAAGAGGAGGUGGUGCAAAUGGGGCAAUGCCAAAAACUGGAGGGGCCCCCGGUGGGGGGGGAGGUGGAGGAGGUAGAGGAGUAGAUGAAAUAGGAACAGGAGGAACCACACUUCCAGGAGUCACAGGAGGGCCGCCAGGAACACCGGAUGUCUAAUUAGUGCAAUUAAAUAUAUACAGUAUAUAUAAAAAAUCAAAUCAAAUCAAUGCCUUCAACUCCCUUUUUAAAAAUACUAAUGUACACAUCCCCAAAAUGGCAAGAUUUUGUGAUGCAAAACAUGACACCAUUAAUUAUUUUUAACCUGUCCACCGCAGACGUACUGGGCUAGCAAGCUUGUUGCUGUGUGAAGCAUGACGUCAUCACUCGUGUGCCGAUAUAAUUAUCGGAGGAAUAAAACGAUAUCGAUUACCGUAUUUUCCGUACUAUAAGUCUCUCCGGAGUAAGUCACUCUAGCCAUAAAUGCACAAGAAGAAGAAAAAACAUAUAUAAGUCGCACUGGACUAUUGGUGGGAAAUUUAUUUUAUAAAAUCAGAGAGAAUAACAGGCUAAAUAGGCGUCUGUUAACGUAACGUGAAUAGGUGGUACGCCAACGUAACAUAUUGACAGUUGUUCACAUAACUAUAGCCUAAACAACAUAACGUAACUUGUUUAAUCGCAGCUUGUGAUCUGCAGAAUCUGAUUUUCUUUUUGGGGGCAUUUCUGUUCCGGCUUUCUCAGUUGUCUUUAUAAGUUAACGUUUACAUUGUACAUUUUGAGUGGCACAGGAGUGAUAGGAGUAGCAGAUACUGGCACACAAGCCUAGAGCGCACCUCUCACGGCUGUCAGUGUGGAAAAAAAAAACAUAUAUAACUCGCUCCGGAGUAUAAGUUGCAGGACCGGCCAAACCAUGAUAAAAGUGGGACUUAUAGUGCGGAAAAUACGGACUAUACCUUCUAGAUUCAGUGUGUUAGCUAUGUGAAUUUUCAGUCUAACAACCUCUCACAGGGGCCUUCAGGACACACAAACACACACACACACUCACAUAGCACAACUAGAAUUGCACAACACUCCCAGAUAACCCAUGGAAAACUACGGGGAGGCAUACAGUCAUGGAAAAAAUGAUUAGACCACCCUUGUUUAUUUAUUUUUGAUCAAUUUUAAUGCCUGGUA
Long non-coding RNA from Dunckerocampus dactyliophorus (ringed pipefish), 18738 nucleotides. RefSeq lists it as uncharacterized. The transcript is spliced from 3 exons. The record is from RefSeq and is a predicted model, not a curated record. Lineage: Eukaryota; Metazoa; Chordata; Actinopteri; Syngnathiformes; Syngnathidae.